RNAcentral lists this ribosomal RNA (264 nucleotides) under Triticum aestivum (bread wheat). RNAcentral's name for it is "partial small subunit ribosomal RNA". The record is from RNAcentral. Lineage: Eukaryota; Viridiplantae; Streptophyta; Magnoliopsida; Poales; Poaceae.
AUGGAAAGCUUACUGCAUUAGGACUUUGCUCCGGGCUCAGCCCUUGCAGAUCAUGUGAGAAGGAAAUUUGGGUCUACAGUUCAUUUCUCCCCCUCAAGAGACACCAAAGAGUUCUUUUUGGUCGUUUCUUUCUCCUCGGCUUUGUUCCCUCUCUCUGUGGAAUCAGUGGGUAUUGCGUUGCAAUAUUGUCUUGGAGGGGGUUUCUUCUGGUUUCAAGGUGGUGCCGAUCACUACACAUUCUUUUCGUUUCUCGGUUGCCAAUAA